CACUUCUCCUUCUAUCCAGUAUGGAAUUUCCAGCUUGCCACAGGUUGUUGACAAACCAGUGCCUAUCAGAAUAUCGUCUUUUUUGACGUCUCGACACCUUUCUCAUAGGUGUAUUAGAUUACCUGCAAGGAAAUAUCACCCUAAAAAUGAUGGUCCGAAGGUGCCAUUUUUUAGUGAUGAUGAGGAGACACCCAGCACGCCAAAGGCAGAUGCUCUUUAUAUUCCCAGGGAGAACCCAAGAUCUUUAGAAAUUCGUCCAUUGGAACAGAUAUCCUCUAGAGCAAGCUCAGAGAAAAGAUCCCCAUCAAACCCCAAGGCUACUACUCCUGUACAUGAGAAUGGUAAACAGUUGUAGCAUUCUAUAUCUAAUGAGAUGUGCUAGACUUUGUGCUCUUUGAUACGUGGAAUGAUUUAGGAAUAUCGCUAAAAUAAUUACAGAUGCUACCUCUAAGAUUAGUCCACUUAGAAGUUGUUGGACACCUCAAGAGAGCCGAAGCGCCUCAUGGUAGCUGGUUACGAUUCAUUUUCCCUUUUUUUAUUGAGAUUAUAAUUAGUACAAAGGCUGAAUUUUUUUUUU
Molecule: long non-coding RNA, 577 nt
Organism: Olea europaea var. sylvestris
Lineage: Eukaryota; Viridiplantae; Streptophyta; Magnoliopsida; Lamiales; Oleaceae
Exons: 3
Source: RefSeq, a predicted model, not a curated record